GACGAACGCUGGCGGCGUGCUUAACACAUGCAAGUCGAACGGAAAGGCCCCCACCUUGGUGGGGGUGCUCGAGUGGCGAACGGUGAGUACACGUGGUGAUUCUGCCUUGCACUUCGGAUAAGCUUGGGAAACUGGGUCUAAUACCGGAUAGGACCAUGGUUUAGUAUCUCAUGGUGGAAAAAUUAUUGUUUUGGUGCAGGAUGAGCUCGCGGCCUAUCAGCUUGUUGGUGGGGUAAUGGCCUACCAAGGCGUCGACGGGUAGCCGGCCUGAGAGGGUGGACGGCCACAUUGGGACUGAGAUACGGCCCAGACUCCUACGGGAGGCAGCAGUGGGGAAUAUUGCACAAUGGGCGCAAGCCUGAUGCAGCGACGCCGCGUGGGGGAUGACGGCCUUCGGGUUGUAAACUCCUUUCGUUAGGGACGAAGCCACGCCUUUUUUGGGUGUGGUGACGGUACCUUUGUUAAGAAGC
RNAcentral lists this ribosomal RNA (470 nucleotides) under Corynebacterium matruchotii. RNAcentral describes it as "bacterial SSU rRNA". It matches the Rfam family "Bacterial small subunit ribosomal RNA", at positions 28 to 491 of the family's 1533-position model. The record is from RNAcentral. Lineage: Bacteria; Bacillati; Actinomycetota; Actinomycetes; Mycobacteriales; Corynebacteriaceae.